RNAcentral lists this long non-coding RNA (1640 nucleotides) under Homo sapiens (human). RNAcentral describes it as "long intergenic non-protein coding RNA 2241". Lineage: Eukaryota; Metazoa; Chordata; Mammalia; Primates; Hominidae. The record is from RNAcentral.
GUACAAGCUCUCGCCUGCCGCCAUGUAAACGUUCUUUGCUCCUGCUUCGUCUUCUGCCGUGAUUGUGAGGCCUCCCCAGCCAUGUGGAACUACUCAUCACUCACUGCAGAUGUUACUUUAAGACAUUCUGGAGCAGCGUCAUGUGCAGGAACAAUAAGGAAGUGAGUGCUUUUGUAAUUCCUGAACAACUGUGUCUUACACUUACUAAGUUCUCUUGCCUGCCACCAUGUAAGAUAUGCUUUUACUCUUCCGCCUUCCACCGUGACUGUGAGGCCUCCCCAGCCAUGUGAAACUGCCUUUGAGCUUAUACUGAAUUAUACCACCAGCUUUCCUAGGUCUUGAAGCUUACAGACAGCAGAUCUUGGGACUUCUCAGGCACCAUAAUCAAUCAUAGAUAAAUGAUCCAAUGAUUCGGAACUUGAAAAGUGGUAGCUUUAUGAAUUCUCCUUAAGAAGAAACCUGUGCCCUGAUCUUGCCUACUCACCCAAAGGCACUGUGAGAUAGCAUCAAAGGAACAGCUAGUAAGAGACACAGAGCCAGAAAUCAGGGAAGUAAAAUACACUUGACAUCUACGUUCGGAAAGAAAUUUUAGGAGGCAGAAGCAAAUGGAUCAGAAGCUGCUUAUAUUUUUGCAAGAUUACCAAAGAAACCAUUGGUGGAGAAAGUUCUGUGACCAACUUGUCUGAGUCUAGUAAGAUUGAACGCUCACACACAAGUUUCAUGAAGUGGGUUUGAUACUUACAGAUAAGCAGCAAGGACCAACAGAAGCUGAUGAUCUAUGGUGAACUUUUUCCCAAGGCUCCGGAAAGCUGCCUAAAGUAGAUGGAGUCUUCUCUGUGUGUGCCCCACUGGUCCUGCAGUUGAAGGAUCCGGUAAAGCAGCCUGCCCUUGGUUUUAUACUCCAGAGGAACGUGAUUCGCUGGACUAAAGCAUUGAAGUGCAUCCUGUUUCCGGGGGGCACUGGAACAGAGCCUGGUCUGUUCUAGCCAGUCCCUUUCUAUCUCAGGAUAACAUUCUACAGUUAUUCUUGAGAACUAUAAUCAAAUAAGCAGGGAGAACUGGAGGCUCAUUGUGGAACCCUCAAGGAGCAUGGGGUCGUCUUCAUCCCUCAGUUUAUAAAUGGCCAAGGAGAGUAAUGCAACAAAAACUUCUCAGAGUUAAAAGCCAGAGUUCCUAAAGAACCGUGGACAAAGGGUUCUGUCUAGUGGGCAGAAUUCAUCCAGCGAAGGUGCUUACUGCACUCCCAGCAUGUGCUUGGGAACUUUAUUAAAAUUCCUUCCUAUUGAGAUUUAAAUUGCUGUCCAGAAUUAUACAAUAUAAUGAAUGGGGGCAUUCAUUAUGUGUAUUCUAUGCCUUCUCCAUCAUUGCAUAUUCAGUCCUCGUGCUAGAGAGAGGCAGAUAAUCUACCUUUUAAAUUGAUAGGUCUCCUAACUACAGAGGGUCACAUCUGGAUCUGAUGGCACCUACAGAACUUGGACUCUGAGCGACAAUCAGUGACCAGGAAAUUUGGAACCCAGGUUUUCCCAACCUACAUCUACAAAAUGGAAUGGGUCUGAUUCGCAAGUUUUCAGAGAAAGAAGCCAACCUUAAUCAGACUGUGAUAUGAUGAGGAAAUAAAACUUGCUGUGCUAAUCAACUGA